GUGCUCACUUUGGCAGCACAUAUACUAAACUGGAACAAUACAGAGAAGAUUAGCAUGGCCCCUGCACAAGAAUGACACAUAAAUUCAUGAAGCAUUCCAUAAGUAU
Callithrix jacchus (white-tufted-ear marmoset) is the source of this 106-nucleotide small nuclear RNA. NCBI's taxonomy places the organism in Eukaryota, Metazoa, Chordata, Mammalia, Primates, Cebidae. The record is from Ensembl.